This is a long non-coding RNA of Labrus mixtus (cuckoo wrasse), 485 nucleotides long. RefSeq lists it as uncharacterized. The record is from RefSeq and is a predicted model, not a curated record. Lineage: Eukaryota; Metazoa; Chordata; Actinopteri; Labriformes; Labridae. The transcript has 2 exons.
CGAUAUGUUAAAGUCACGUAGAGCUGUACGAUGUGUUUAAAGUCACGUAGAGCCGUACGAUAUGUUCAAAGUCACGUUGAGCCGCACGAUAUGUUAAAGUCACGUAGUGCUGUACGAUGUGUUUAAAUCAUGUAGAGCCAUACGAUAUGUUCAAAGUCACGUAGAGCCGUACGAUGUGUUUAAAGUCACAUAGAGCUGUACGAUGUGUGGCUCAGAAAAUUAUUUACAGAAUACAUUUACACACUGAAGUAAAAACAAAAACAGUUAAUUAAAAGGAGUUGCAGAUCAAUUUGCACCAUGAGGUUUAAAACAUUUAAUUAGAACUAUCAUUAUAUCAACAGGAGUCCUCUUUGAAGAUGCUAUGGUGACCACUGAUGGUGGAGUCCUGAGAGAGAGAGAGAGAGAGAGAGAGAGAGGGAGACAGAGAGAGAGAGAGAGGGAGAUAGAGAGAGAGAGAGAGACAGAGAGACAGAGAGAGGGAGACA